UUUUAACGUGUUAUUUUUACAAUCAUUGAUUUGUUUGGUCGAGUCGACGUUGAUAUUGUCUGUUUUCAAAAUAAAUUCAAAAUACAAAAAAAAGUUGAGGGACCAAUUUGGAAACCUAACAACAUUUUAUCUAUAAAUAUAGUGGAAAAUGUUGAAACCUAGGGGGAGAAAAAAUUGAAGGCGGAGAAAAAUUUUGGGGAG
This 201-nucleotide long non-coding RNA is filed under the name Populus trichocarpa (black cottonwood). Its description in RNAcentral is "long non-coding RNA (PTRI_LNC002232)". The record is from RNAcentral. Lineage: Eukaryota; Viridiplantae; Streptophyta; Magnoliopsida; Malpighiales; Salicaceae.